GGCGAGAGGAGUACGUGGCAUCGACAGGGGAGCCUGCCUGCCGCGUCUGGACCCGCGUUUCAGUUGCUGUUGGGACAUCCUGAAAGGAAAGUCAUAGAAGAAAUUGAAGAGUCAAGACUGAAAAGAGGUUGUGAGGUGGUCGUUGAAUCCAUGAGGCUGAAUGAGGUUGCUGAGGGACAAGGUGCAUCUCAUUACGUUUGAUCAACUGUGUUAAAUAAGUUGCAAAUGUUUCUCCUUCACAGAGGCUAGCGAAGAUUAGAAGGAGAAAACGGCGGACU
Chrysemys picta bellii (western painted turtle) is the source of this 278-nucleotide long non-coding RNA. RefSeq lists it as uncharacterized. The record is from RefSeq and is a predicted model, not a curated record. Lineage: Eukaryota; Metazoa; Chordata; Testudines; Emydidae.